AUUUCCAAUGCGAAAACACGAAGCUAACAUGAAUAGUAGCAGAAGAUGAACAAGACAUACAAGCAAUAGGAAGUUGGAAUCUGCCUUGAAGAAAUAUUGGAUAUGAAACUUACCGUCAUAAGUUUAUGAUACAAGAAAAUGAACACUAUUACAUAUAAGAGUCGAUUACAAACAACAAAACGGUCCCUGGAAAAUAUUGUUUAACAUCCGGUUUGAACGAGCAGUUGCCUUUUGCCAAGCAGCUCAAAAUUCUAGAACUUGGGAGUUAACUGAGGCCUUCUACAAACUCAAUUGGCUAGAAACAUCAUCUGUGCUUUGACCUUAUACUAGUCUUAACUCGUAUUCACCAG
RNAcentral lists this unclassified non-coding RNA (350 nucleotides) under Hevea brasiliensis (rubber tree). The record is from RNAcentral. Lineage: Eukaryota; Viridiplantae; Streptophyta; Magnoliopsida; Malpighiales; Euphorbiaceae.